Molecule: ribosomal RNA, 253 nt
Filed under: uncultured bacterium
Lineage: Bacteria
Also listed under: 3 other names
Description: partial 16S ribosomal RNA
Rfam family: Bacterial small subunit ribosomal RNA
Source: RNAcentral
UACAGAGGGUGCGAGCGUUGUCCGGAAUCACUGGGCGUAAAGGGCGCGUAGGCGGCUUUUCAAGCGUGCGGUGAAAGCUCGGGGCUUAACUCCGAGUCUGCCGUGCGAACUGGGAGGCUUGAGUCUGGUAGAGGUCGAUGGAAUUCCGGGUGUAGCGGUGGAAUGCGUAGAGAUCCGGAAGAACACCGGUGGCGAAGGCGGUCGACUGGGCCAGUACUGACGCUGAGGCGCGACAGCGUGGGGAGCAAACAGG